RNAcentral lists this long non-coding RNA (1429 nucleotides) under Homo sapiens (human). RNAcentral describes it as "long non-coding RNA NONHSAT186073.1". The record is from RNAcentral. Lineage: Eukaryota; Metazoa; Chordata; Mammalia; Primates; Hominidae.
GGCUGUCGGUCUAGCAGGGGGGACUCCCCUGAGGGGCCGCUGCGGGUCGCCGUCUUCGGAGGCACCGGCGAGGGCAGAGCCAACAGCCUCUUCACGGUCUGUAAGGUCAUUGUUUGCCAGUCGUGGGCAGCGCGGCAAACCUGCUGGGAAAAGGUUUUCUGGUUGGAAUAGGAUGAGUACCGCACCAGCUUUGCCUUCCAGCUGAGAUGUAAAUUUCAGGCCUCCAUCCUGUGGAACGUGGGAAAACUAUCUUGAGUGUUGGCAUGUUCUAAGUAUGACAUAAUAGUUUAAUGUAUGAUAAAUCAUGGGUGUUUAGACGAAAGAUUUACACAUAUAAAUUGGAGGCUUUAGCGGUCUUAGUGUAACUAACUUUUCGUCCCCUUAACCCUUGAUGCCUGUUCUAUGGGUCUCUAGAGCGGAAGGAGCAUUAUACUCCGGAAACAUUUGCUGGAAGGGGUUAUGAGAAAUUCCUCUCUGUAUGCUAACUCCGUAAUACAAGCGUUUGUGUAUUUUAAAAUCACAGCUGUUCCAAAUAUAAUCUAGCCUCGUUUUCCCCCUCCGUCGGAUGAUAGGUGUUCUUCAGGACAGUUUUAUUUUAAGCAAUUCUUAGUCUCAAGUAAACACCAUCAUUAAAAGAACUGAGAACUAUUAUCAAUUCUUCCUUUGGAGUCCAUCUUCAAUGGAAAGGAGAAGGGAAAACCUUUUUUAAAAAGAAGAAAGAAAACUGAAGUUUUUGAUUUGACUAGAGAAAUAUUCAGAAGACUCCUUAUUUUCACCUAGUUUAAUCACAAAAUUGAGAAACAAACAUUAUCCCUUGACCAUGUAAAUUUUACACCACAUUAUGUCAACAGCAUGUACCUUCCACAUUGAGUAUUCAGAAAGAAGUGAUCUGAACUCUGACCAUUCUUUAUGGAUACAUUAAGUCAAAUAUAAGAGUCUGACUACUUGACACACUGGCUCGAGCAAACAUGAACGUUGGAGUUGCCCACAGUGAAGUGAAUCCAAAUACCCGUGUCAUGAACAGCCGGGGUAUGUGGCUGACAUAUGCAUUGGGAGUUGGCUUGCUUCAUAUUGUCUUACUCAGCAUUCCCUUCUUCAGUGUUCCUGUUGCUUGGACUUUAACAAAUAUUAUACAUAAUCUGGGGAUGUACGUAUUUUUGCAUGCAGUGAAAGGAACACCUUUCGAAACUCCUGACCAGGGUAAAGCAAGGCUCCUAACUCAUUGGGAACAACUGGACUAUGGAGUACAGUUUACAUCUUCACGGAAGUUUUUCACAAUUUCUCCAAUAAUUCUAUAUUUUCUGGCAAGUUUCUAUACGAAGUAUGAUCCAACUCACUUCAUCCUAAACACAGCUUCUCUCCUGAGUGUACUAAUUCCCAAAAUGCCACAACUACAUGGUGUUCGGAUCUUUGGAAUUAAUAAGUAUUG